ACACACCGCCCGACACACCAUGGAAGUCUGCAAUGCCCGAAGCCGGUGGCCUAACCACUUAUGUGGAAGGAGCCGUCUAAGGCAGGGCAGAUGACUGGGGUGAAGUCGUAACAAGGUACC
RNAcentral lists this ribosomal RNA (120 nucleotides) under uncultured bacterium. RNAcentral's name for it is "partial 16S ribosomal RNA". It matches the Rfam family "Bacterial small subunit ribosomal RNA", at positions 1385 to 1500 of the family's 1533-position model. The record is from RNAcentral.